UACGUAGGGCGCAAGCGUUGUCCGGAAUUAUUGGGCGUAAAGAGCUCGUAGGCGGCCAGUUGCGUCUGCUGUGAAAUCCCGGGCUCAACCCCGGGCGUGCAGUGGAUACGGGCUGGCUAGAGGCAGGCAGGGGAGAACGGAAUUCCCGGUGUAGCGGUGAAUGCGCAGAUAUCGGGAGGAACACCGGUGGCGAAGGCGGUUCUC
RNAcentral lists this ribosomal RNA (204 nucleotides) under uncultured bacterium. Its description in RNAcentral is "partial 16S ribosomal RNA". It matches the Rfam family "Bacterial small subunit ribosomal RNA", at positions 524 to 729 of the family's 1533-position model. The record is from RNAcentral.